UUACUAUGAAGUGGCUCACCUGUUUGGAUGCUAUGUUGAAUUGGAUCCCAUGCCUAUGUCUGAGUCCUUCUUUAAGCCCCUGGAUAAUGAUAUGGGCUGAGGCCCUUCAGACAAAAAGUCAUACCCAGAAUAAGUAUCCCUAUGAGAUUGAACCACAAGCCACUUCGGGAAUCGGGAAUCCAUGUUACUGAAUUAACAUCAAGUGGCUAAUUUAUCUCUCAAGUAUUAAAGCCAUAUCAGGGAUGCAAUGUCAGUCUCUGCUGCUAGCAAAUUAGACUUUGAAAGGCAGAAGUAGCUAUAAGAUUGGCCUUGGUCAGUGGGAACUCAUGCUGUUUUAUUCAUGUGUUGCCUCCAUCUCUGCAAACAUGGCCAUUCCAUUUAUGUGCCAUUUUGGAAUGGACCAUGACAAAGCUUGGCUAACAUCAACUGGUAGAAUUCUUUUAUCUAUUUGAUUUUUUCAGUUUCUCUUUCAUUAGUGAUGGUGCUUUAUGGUCAGAAUAAACAUGAGAUAACAAAAAUCUUCACCCUUUGUGCUCACUCUCUUAUGUACAUCCACAUGCCUGUAUUCAGACCUCUUUUUCUCUAACCUUCAUCUUUUCCUUCAGGAUCCUGACUAGCUGGCCAGGCCACUAACAUUGCCAAGGAAUCUGUACAGAUUCUCAGUACCAAGUCACUUCUCCUUCCACAUAAAGUUGCCUAUGAGGAAGAUUUUUCCUCCAAGCUGCCUUUCAGGGUGACCCCUUAAUGUAUACUUUCCACUCAUAUACCAAACCAAUCCAUUAAUAAUCAAGUUUGACCUUUUUUCUUCUCCUCCUAUGGCAUGUGCAGCCUGAGGAAGGGGUGCAGAUGCCACCAUCAUGAGAAAUAUAGAGGGGUCUGUGCUACUAAUUAAUUCAUGCAACUUACUCAAACCCUCUUGUCCUUCUGGUGUUUGAUUUUGAAUGCAUCAUUUCUGUAUUAUGCUGGGCCCAUUAACUUUAUAACUGAGCUCAUGAUGGACACUUUUAGACACAUGAUAACCUUUAACCCACAGUCAAGCUUUCUGUCUCUAUGAGGGUCUAAUACCAUAUGAGGAGCUGUUUCUUGAAAGGAGUAAAAUCCUGUGCUGCAGAUGGCGUGGCCUUUCUCCUAGAUUCCAGAGUCCUAUAUUCUGAUCUCCCAUUGAGACUUGCUGUAAACUCCACACUGACUGCUGCAGUGCCCUUUGCUGCUCCUGGUUGCACUUGGAGCAUACAUCCCUCCAUGUCUCCCAGGAUAUGAGCUAGAGGAAUAUUCCCACGUGUGGAAUUUGUUGCUUCCAGAGCCCAAAGAGGCCCAUUAGACAUCUUGCUUCAUUAUAGUAGGAGAUGCAAUAUGCAAAAGUUUGUCUUUUACAAAAGAGAGGUUGUCUUCACAUGCCACUGACUACUAGACCACUAAAACUUUACAGAAGUGUCAGAUUCUUGGAUCUUUCCAGAUUUUACCUUAUACCUUCUGGAUCUAUGUGUCUUACCAAGGCCUCUGCCAUACAAGCUGCCCUUUCUCAUUCUGCCCCAUCAGCACAUUACUGAUAUAUCACAGUGCUGUUCUGUAGAAUGUCCAGACAAUCCAGGUCUCUCAGACUUUAUUGCAAAGAGAUUGAAG
Molecule: long non-coding RNA, 1623 nt
Filed under: Marmota monax (woodchuck)
Lineage: Eukaryota; Metazoa; Chordata; Mammalia; Rodentia; Sciuridae
Source: RNAcentral